Molecule: long non-coding RNA, 2545 nt
Organism: Manis pentadactyla (Chinese pangolin)
Lineage: Eukaryota; Metazoa; Chordata; Mammalia; Pholidota; Manidae
Exons: 6
Source: RefSeq, a predicted model, not a curated record
UAAGUAAUGUGAAUUAAUGAGGGAGUGCUUCAACCUUUGUAUCCAGACAGUUAUUUAACCUGUGUUUCAUUUCCAUAUCCAUACCUGGAAUAUUUUAUAGAGCCAUAUAGUGCUAAUACAGUUGUAACCAAUAUAUUCAUAAUAUUUUCCCAGGAUUGAGAAAACCUCAUAAGUCUGGAGUCUAAAUUUUUUUCAGAUAUCAUAUUUUUACUUUUAAAUUUACUCUAUUGAUCUGAAAUGUGUUCUUUUGUUAAAUACUAGCUUCAAAUGAUUUUUUUUAAUUGAAUCAUCUAAAUUAUUUAAAAUGCGUCCUAAUUUUAAGGUAAAAUUAUGAAAGCAUAUUGCUAGAAAUGUCUGUCUUGAGUUGGAGCCCUGUAUAGGGGACAGGAAGGAAAAGAUUCAGCAAGUGAAGAUACUAUUAAGCAAUCUGUCUUCUCUUUUAAAGGAGAUUCUAAAAUUGAAGGACUUAGGGUUGGGUUCUAGAACUAUUCUACUUUUAUUCAUAGACAGAAAACAGGCCUGAACCAGGGAUUAGGAAAGCUUACAGGCUAUUAGGAAGGUCCUUUUUAGGAAAACCAUAGCUAUUAGUCUGCUGCUGAGGAAGUUGGGCUCCUUUCAAAGAAUCUCUUAAUUAUCUCUCCUAUUGCUGAAGCUGCAGUUAACAUAUAGAAAAGAGUGCUUCUCUUUAAUGAAUUCCCAAAUGCUGUGGCAUUUAUUAAGGAAAUAUUUAAGUAGACCCAUUGUUCAGAGGAUAUUUUAUUCUUUUCUUUCUACCACUGCCCCUGCCUCAGCUUAUUAGCUUCCUAGUGGGAGGUUAAAAGAAAUCCAUGAGAAUAUAUUGUAUUCUCUGUCUGCCCUCUAUUCCUUACUUAACUUUGUACUUAACUGGAACAAAAAUAAAAAUAAGUUCAGACCCUAGUGGAUGCUGAUUUAAAAAACUCUUAAGCGGGAUACAAGUUGUUUAGCUCUACUGAGAUUGUUUUCUUAGUCCUCUCAGUCAUUAACAUGAGGAAAAUUAAAAUUCAUUAGUAUUCAUUUCUUUUCACUGUGUAUUUAUACAGUAUUUAAUAUAAGUGAGGUUUGGUAUUCAGUUCUGAGAUACAAAGAUGAAUAAUACAGACUUGGAUUCUGGCCACAUAAACUUACAAUAUAGUUAGGGAAAUAAAUAUGUGCUUAUACAAUGUAAUAAGCAGCACAUAAAAGGAAGACACCUGAUGAGCACUUAUCCAGGCUUGGGAGAACAGCACGCUUCCAGGAUGAGGUGCGUGAAUUUGCCUUUAGGGAAAACUGGGUGAAUAGAACUGAAAAACAGUAAAAAUACUGAUGUAACUGGACCUUAAGUAUCUGUAGAGGUGUGAGAGAAAGUGAGAGGAUAUAUAACCUCUCUUUGGGGGAGUGCUGCUGGAAUAAGAGCAGUCUUUUAAUGAAUACACAUCCAAAUCACAUUUGCAAAAGAAAUGUUAAGCAAAGAAAUUAAGAAUAUUGGUAGGAAAGUGGUUGACAUGGAGUACAUACAACCUGGAUCCCUGAACCCCAGGUAGAAUCCUUGAUCUUAACAGAUAUACCUCCUCUCAGUCUGAAAUAAAUAGAAUUACUAUCAUAGCCCCAAAAGAGAUGCUACUUGCUUGCUUUUUCACUUUCAAGAUUCCUAUGGUUUAAUGUCAUGUGAAACCUGAACUUGGGGGUACUUAAAAUUUGGACUUUAUAGAAAGAGCAAAAAUGGAGUUGAAUUUAAUAUGAGGCAGAAUAUUAAUACACAAAAUAUAAUGUAUCGGCUCCCCCUUGCCUCUGACCCGCAGAUUUGGAGGGAAUGCGAUGAAAUGCUGAAGAUCUGAAAGGACCAGCCAGGGGAUGGACUCAAGGCGCAGCAGCACAAGAGUUUUUACAAAUUUCACUGUUGAGAGAUGCUGCCCUCAGUGGAAUCAAAGAAGUAUCAGGACAGUAAGAAAAAGACAUAAGUUAACAUUAGAGCUGACUCAGUGCCUGGCUGAGGUAAGGACUCAUGUGAAAGCUGCCUGGCUGAGUUUCAAGCUAAAUAAAACAGAGUGGCUAAAAAGACAGGACUCUCUGGCCUUGGGGGACAAGGGAGCCAUUAGGGGAAAGGAAUCUUCGAGUCAUCAUUUGCAGAGUGAUUGCCCACAGGAACCACUGGAUCAAGAACUGUCAUGUAGAACUGUUACAUGGCUUGACUGGAGGUGUUGGCUAAGUGCUUCAUUCCCACUGAGAGCCACAUCACAGGCAAGACACUGAUAUUUGCUGACCGGGACACGAAGCACUGUCUCUUGUGGGUCAAUCAAAGGCUGACCGAAAUAACAGAAGGACUUUUGAUGAUUUACUGCGGCAUCUUCAUCAGUAAACAUCAUCUGGCACUUUCUGCAUAUAAACUCAUACUUGACGAAUGGAACAACCUCGGUCUGCUGUCCUGACAGAGAGGAUGGAGGAGGAGGAGGAGGAGGAGGUGGUGGAGGUGGCGGAGUCUGCAGCAAAGGUUUGGUGGGGACACUGCUGAGAGACAGGGCAGGAGACGAAGUAGCUGAAGAAGGAA